RNA transcript from Acinonyx jubatus (cheetah), 1220 nucleotides. It is a transcript of the gene named complement component 4 binding protein beta, with no coding region annotated. The transcript is spliced from 8 exons. Lineage: Eukaryota; Metazoa; Chordata; Mammalia; Carnivora; Felidae. The record is from RefSeq and is a predicted model, not a curated record.
CCAAAGACCCACAGGAUGGAAACCCUGGCACAGGCCUGGCAAAUGAGGACAAAGCGUCCCCGCAGGACUGGAGUUUUUCUCAGGUUUGGAAGUAACUGGGAUCAGCUCCUUGCUGGGAGCCAUAGAUCCGGAAGGUCAGAGGAAGGUAAGGGAAGAGAAAUCAAUACAACAUCUCCAGGAGGGAGGUGGUUGGUAUCUCCUACUUUGAUCCAAACCACGUGUUGUCUGUGUUGGGUUAAUUCCAGCCUGGGUCAAGCAACUGAUCGCAAGAUGUUUUUGCGGGUUGUGUGCUAUCUUGUGGUUGUGUGGCCGAUUUCUGCCUCAUACGAGAACUGUCCAGAACUCCCCCCAGUGGGAUAUAGCAUAUUUGUUGCAAAGAAGGUCGAGGGACAAAUUCUGGGGACUUUCUUUUGUAUCAAGGGCUACCACCUGGUAGGAGAGAAAACCUUUAUUUGCAAUGCCUCUGGGGAGUGGAAUAAUCCCACUCCCACAUGCCAAUUGGGCCACUGUCCUGACCCUGUGCUGGUGAAUGGCGAACCCAGUUUCUCAGGUCCUGUGAAUGUGAGUGACAAAGUCACUUUUAAGUGCAAUGAGAACUAUAUCCUCCAGGGCAGCAACUGGAGUCAGUGCAUGAACGACCACACCUGGAUGCCUCCCUUACCCAUCUGCAAAAGCAGAGACUGUGGCCCUCCUGGGAAUCUGGCUCAUGGCUAUUUUGAGGGAAGAGAUUUCAACUUAGGUUCGACCAUUACUUACUACUGUGAAGACAGGUACCACUUGGUGGGCACGCGGGACCAACGGUGCGUUGAUGGGGAGUGGAGCAGUGCACCUCCAGUCUUUGUAUCUCCUGGCACAUGCUCAGUAAAUAUCUGUUCACUGUGGGAUGUUUUUGAAGAGUUGGCCUUGGCCCGAUUGUAGAAGAGGGAUCAUAAGCUAUUAAUUCGUAUUUUUACAUGAGAAGUUCUCAUUCACCACCAUCAUCACAAACACCUCAUGAGGACGUGUUGCUUGCCUUUCAGGAGACGAAAGACCUUUGCAAAGCCAUGCGGAACUUUAUGAAAAGACUCAAGGAAAAUUCCUUAACGAUGGAGGAACUAAAAUAUUUUCUGGAAAUUCAGAAAGCCAAGCUGCAGCCAAAAAAUGAGGCCCUGACAUUAUAGCUGAGCAGGCUGGGUCAUAGAAAAGCACCCUAUGAAUAAACCUUCUUCUUGGUUCUAAAA